UACAGAGGUCUCGAGCGUUAGGCGGAAUCACUGGGCUUAAAGCGUGUGUAGGCGGAUCGGUAAGUACCUUGUGAAAUCCCACAGCUUAACUGUGGAACUGCUUGGUAUACUGCCAGUCUUGAGCCAGCUAGGGGCUACCGGAACAAAUGGUGGAGCGGUGAAAUGCGUAGAUAUCAUUUGGAACGCCAAUGGUGAAAACAGGUAGCUGGGGCUGUGCUGACGCUGAGACACGAAAGCGAGGGGAGCGAACGGG
Molecule: ribosomal RNA, 253 nt
Filed under: uncultured bacterium
Lineage: Bacteria
Description: partial 16S ribosomal RNA
Rfam family: Bacterial small subunit ribosomal RNA
Source: RNAcentral